GUUGACAGAUUGAGAGCUCUUUCUUGAUCCUAUGGGUGGUGGUGCAUGGCCGUUCUUAGUUGGUGGAGCGAUCUGUCAGGUCAAUUCCGUUAACGAACGAGACCUUAACCUGCUAACUAGUCACACGAUUCUCGAAUCGUGGCUGGCUUCUUAGAGGGACAAUUGGUGUUUAACCAAAGUCAGAAAGGCAAUAACAGGUCUGUGAUGCCCUUAGAUGUUCUGGGCCGCACGCGCGCUACACUGACGAUGGUAGCGAGUCUGACCCUUCACCGAAAGGUGUGGGUAAUCUUUUGAAACAUCGUCGUGAUGGGGACAGAUCGUUGCAAUUAUUGAUCUUGAACGAGGAAUUCCUAGUAAGCGCGAGUCAUCAGCUCGCGUUGAUUACGUCCCUCCCCUUUGUAA
This 402-nucleotide ribosomal RNA is filed under the name Alatina alata. RNAcentral describes it as "SSU rRNA". It matches the Rfam family "Eukaryotic small subunit ribosomal RNA", at positions 1239 to 1664 of the family's 1831-position model. The record is from RNAcentral. Lineage: Eukaryota; Metazoa; Cnidaria; Cubozoa; Carybdeida; Alatinidae.